GAGUAGGGCGGGACACGUGGUAUCCUGUCUGAAUAUGGGGGGACCAUCCUCCAAGGCUAAAUACUCCUGACUGACCGAUAGUGAACCAGUACCGUGAGGGAAAGGCGAAAAGAACCCCGGCGAGGGGAGUGAAAAAGAACCUGAAACCGUGUACGUACAAGCAGUGGGAGCACGCUUAGGCGUGUGACUGCGUACCUUUUGUAUAAUGGGUCAGCGACUUAUAUUCUGUAGCAAGGUUAACCGAAUAGGGGAGCCGAAGGGAAACCGAGUCUUAACUGGGCGUUAAGUUGCAGGGUAUAGACCCGAAACCCGGUGAUCUAGCCAUGGGCAGGUUGAAGGUUGGGUAACACUAACUGGAGGACCGAACCGACUAAUGUUGAAAAAUUAGCGGAUGACUUGUGGCUGGGGGUGAAAGGCCAAUCAAACCGGGAGAUAGCUGGUUCUCCCCGAAAGCUAUUUAGGUAGCGCCUCGUGAAUUCAUCUCCGGGGGUAGAGCACUGUUUCGGCAAGGGGGUCAUCCCGACUUACCA
This 530-nucleotide ribosomal RNA is filed under the name Escherichia coli. RNAcentral's name for it is "partial 23S ribosomal RNA". It matches the Rfam family "Bacterial large subunit ribosomal RNA", at positions 410 to 941 of the family's 2925-position model. Lineage: Bacteria; Pseudomonadati; Pseudomonadota; Gammaproteobacteria; Enterobacterales; Enterobacteriaceae. The record is from RNAcentral.